AAUAUUGGACAAUGGGCGCAAGCCUGAUCCAGCAAUGCCGCGUGGGUGAAGAAGGUCUUCGGAUUGUAAAGCCCUUUCGGCGGGGACGAUGAUGACGGUACCCGCAGAAGAAGCCCCGGCUAACUUCGUGCCAGCAGCCGCGGUAAUACGAAGGGGGCUAGCGUUGCUCGGAAUGACUGGGCGUAAAGGGCGCGUAGGCGGCCUGGACAGUCGGAUGUGAAAUUCCUGGGCUCAACCUGGGGGCUGCAUCCGAGACGUUUGGGCUGGAGUGAGGAAGAGGGUCGUGGAAUUCCCAGUGUAGAGGUGAAAUUCGUAGAUAUUGGGAAGAACACCGGUGGCGAAGGCGGCGACCUGGUCCUUUACUGACGCUGAGGCGCGAAAGCGUGGGGAGCAA
This 394-nucleotide ribosomal RNA is filed under the name uncultured Acetobacteraceae bacterium. RNAcentral's name for it is "bacterial SSU rRNA". It matches the Rfam family "Bacterial small subunit ribosomal RNA", at positions 360 to 771 of the family's 1533-position model. Lineage: Bacteria; Pseudomonadati; Pseudomonadota; Alphaproteobacteria; Acetobacterales; Acetobacteraceae. The record is from RNAcentral.